ACACCUCAACUCUCGUGGUCCGCCAUGAUGAGCUUGGACUUUGGGGGUCUUGCUGGCCUAGUGUCGGCUCCUCUCAAAUGGAUCAGCUUGCCAGUGUUUGGUGGCGUCGCAGGUGUGAUAACUAUCUACGCUUGUGGUUCUCUGCCAUGUAACCUUCAGUGAUGGAGGUUCGCUGGAGCUCACAGAUGUCUCUCCUGGGAGGACAGCUCUUUGAAC
RNAcentral lists this unclassified non-coding RNA (216 nucleotides) under uncultured Thelephoraceae. Its description in RNAcentral is "sequence contains ITS2". The record is from RNAcentral. Lineage: Eukaryota; Fungi; Basidiomycota; Agaricomycetes; Thelephorales; Thelephoraceae.